Molecule: long non-coding RNA, 400 nt
Filed under: Oryza sativa aromatic subgroup
Lineage: Eukaryota; Viridiplantae; Streptophyta; Magnoliopsida; Poales; Poaceae
Description: lncRNA OsARC_05g0002130
Source: RNAcentral
CCCUGCGGGUCUCCUCGACUCCUCCUCGGCCUUGUGCCGAAUCCGCUGACCGCGGCCUCUCUGAACUCGUCGUUCACCUGCACUGCAGCGGGUUCCCUGCUCCCUCACCGUGGUCUCCCUCGACUGAUCAUGCGCGUUGCCUCACCAAAAGGAGGCGGGAAGAUUGGGGAGGAGGAGAAGGAGACGUGGGUCCCAGCCGUGCUCCUCGGCCACGUGGGGCCGUCGAGGGCGGCGGGGAGGCCAGCGGCAAGAGACAGGGAGGUAGGAGGCGGGGUUGGCGAGGAGGACGGGGAGGUCGGCGAGCUGUUCUGCUCCGCUCGGCGCCGUAGUAGUAGAUACUCCCUCCGUAUUUUAAUAUAUGACGCCAUUGACUUUUUAACCAACGUUUGACCAUUCGUUU